This 404-nucleotide unclassified non-coding RNA is filed under the name soil metagenome. Its description in RNAcentral is "partial contains 5.8S ribosomal RNA, internal transcribed spacer 2, and large subunit ribosomal RNA". The stretch from base 1 to 122 matches the Rfam family "5.8S ribosomal RNA", at positions 35 to 154 of the family's 154-position model. The record is from RNAcentral.
GAUGAAGAACGUAGCAAAAUGCGAUACUUGGUGUGAAUUGCAGAAUCCCGUGAACCAUCGAGUUUUUGAACGCAAGUUGCGCCCGAAGCCUUUUGGCCGAGGGCACGUCUGCCUGGGCGUCACGCAUCGCGUCGCCCCCCACAAAUUCUCCGUCAGGGGAGCUUGUGUUUCGGGGGCGGAUACUGGUCUCCCGUGCUCAUGGCGCGGUUGGCCGAAAUAGGAGUCCCUUCGAUGGACGCACGAACUAGUGGUGGUCGUAAAAACCCUCGUCUUUUGUUUCGUGCCGUUAGUCGCGAGGGAAGCUCUUCAAAAACCCCAGCGCGUCGUCUCUUGACGGCGCUUCGACCGCGACCCAGGUCAGGCGGGACUACCCGCUGAGUUUAAGCAUAUCAAUAAGCGGAGGA